UUCUCAAUCCUCCUCUGCUGGUCAGCCAAGGCCAGGAACAGAGUGUUUCCACCUUCCUUACGUCAAUCUGUCCGGCUGUAGCAGGUGGCUCUGUUGGAAGGCUACAUCCUCAACUCUGGAUGUCCAGAAGACUGUCUGCUUCCCUGUCCAUUAACACCAGGCAGAAGCCCCACCCAGGGAACACAGCAACUGCCUCUGGGGUGCACCCUUUCAGACCAUCCCCCUGUGUGCGUACAUGGAAUUUAAGGAUCUCUGCUUGUCUGCUGUCUCUGGACCACAACCUCCUUCGGGAUGCCUGUCAUAGCCGUUCUUCUAAGAGCUCUGUGGCCACGCAACCAGCCCUGUGUCACACACCCCAGCCCUUCACCGCUGGUGGCCCAAGGUCAGGCAAGAGUGACAGGAGAGGAGCCUGCGGACAGCUAUCUUAUGAAUGGGCUCCCAUCUGACUGUGAUUGGAAUUAAUACCCAGCUUCCGCUUCCAGGAACGUCUCCAGCAAAGAGAUCUGGGCUGAGAAGGUCUGGGCUGGAAUGCUCUGAGGGCGAGCCAUAAAUCUCUCCCCAAAAUGAUGAUGCAUAAGCUAAUUGCUCUGGAGGCACCGUGCUCACCCCUUGGAGCCAACAUGUCAUUCUGCAUCCUCCCAGCUCUACCAUUCUCUGGGAACAGGGCCAAAGAGGGGUGGAUGGGCGUUGGCAAAGUCACCAUGAAGGAAAACAUUUUAAUUCAUUUAAUUAUGAGACUCUCAGAAACCCAGGCUCUGUUUCUCCUUGGGCUGGUUAAAGAAAAUGAGAAGUGGCUUGUCCCCACCCCCACCUUCUCCUUAGCCAAAGAGGCUCUGAAAAGUGGGGGGUAUGGGCAGCGUGGAGCUAUGCACAGCCAGGAACGCUAGCCCAGACAAUAAAAUGCUAGCCCAACCAGUGCUGGCUUGCAAGACUUCUCCACGCAGUUCACAUUGUUUUUCCUUUCCUUCCAUAUGAGGAGUCCCCAGGGAUCUGCCGUUUGUGACAUACUAAACUUUGUCUUUCUUCCUUUCCCAAGCGUACCCAUGACAUCAAGAUUGUAACGUGUUCAACUUGUAGGUAAUAAAAAUCAGCCUUUCCAGAUUAACCACAAGGUAUCU
Molecule: long non-coding RNA, 1118 nt
Organism: Peromyscus californicus insignis
Lineage: Eukaryota; Metazoa; Chordata; Mammalia; Rodentia; Cricetidae
Exons: 3
Source: RefSeq, a predicted model, not a curated record